AAUAUUGGACAAGGGGGGCAACGCUGACCCAGCCAUGCCGCGUGUGUGAAGAAGGNCUNNGGAUUNUNAAUCACGUCAAGUUGNNNNNAAGGGCUUUAGACUAAUACCCUGAAGUUCUGACGCUACCAACAGAAUAAGCACCGGCUAACGCUGUGCCAGCAGCCGCGGUAAUACAGAGGGUGCAAGCGUUCAUCGGAAUUACUGGGCGUAAAGCGCGCGUAGGUGGUUCAGUAAGAUGGGUGUGAAAUCCCCGGGCUUAACCUGGGAACUGCUUUCAUAACUGCUGAGCUAGAGUACGGUAGAGGGUAGUGGAAUUUCCUGUGUAGCGGUGAAAUGCGUAGAUAUAGGAAGGAACACCAGUGGCGAAGGCGACUACCUGGACUGAUACUGACACUGAGGUGCGAAAGCGUGGGGAGCAAA
Molecule: ribosomal RNA, 420 nt
Filed under: uncultured bacterium
Lineage: Bacteria
Description: partial 16S ribosomal RNA
Rfam family: Bacterial small subunit ribosomal RNA
Source: RNAcentral